Molecule: microRNA precursor, 205 nt
Organism: Oryza sativa Indica Group (long-grained rice)
Lineage: Eukaryota; Viridiplantae; Streptophyta; Magnoliopsida; Poales; Poaceae
Rfam family: MIR812 microRNA precursor family
Source: Rfam
AAAAAGGCAUACGGUGGAUUUUCGUGUUCAACUUUGACUGUCCGUCUUAUAUAAUUUUUUUUAUAAUUCAUAUUUUCAUUGUUGUUAGGUGAUAAAACAUGAUUGAUAUUUUAUGUGUGACUUGUCUUUUUAAUUUUUUUUCAUAAUUUUUUUAAAUAAGACGGAUGGUCAAACGUUAGGCACGAAAACCAUGGUUUGUCUUUUU